GACGAACGCUGGCGGCGUGCUUAACACAUGCAAGUCGAACGCUGAAGACCUGGCUUUUGUUGGGUUGGAUGAGUGGCGAGCGGGUGAGUAACACGUGAGUAACCUGCCCUCUUCUUUGGGAUAACGCCCGGAAACGGGUGCUAAUACUGGAUAUUCACUGAUCUUCGCAUGGGGGUUGGUGGAAAGGUUUGUUCUGGUGGGGGAUGGGCUCGCGGCCUAUCAGCUUGUUGGUGGGGUGAUGGCCUACCAAGGCUUUGACGGGUAGCCGGCCUGAGAGGGUGACCGGUCACAUUGGGACUGAGAUACGGCCCAGACUCCUACGGGAGGCAGCAGUGGGGAAUAUAGCACAAUGGGCGAAAGCCUGAUGCAGCGACGCCGCGUGAGGGAUGGAGGCCUUCGGGUUGUAAACCUCUUUCGCUCAUGGUCAAGCCGCAACUGUGGGUUGUGGUGAGGGUAGUGGGUAAAGAAGCGCCGGCUAACUACGUG
Molecule: ribosomal RNA, 486 nt
Filed under: uncultured bacterium
Lineage: Bacteria
Description: partial 16S ribosomal RNA
Rfam family: Bacterial small subunit ribosomal RNA
Source: RNAcentral